UACGGAGGGUGCAAGCGUUAUCCGGAUUCCCUGGGUUUAAAGGGUGCGUAGGCGGGCAGGUAAGUCAGUGGUGAAAUCUCCGGGCUUAACCCGGAAACUGCCGUUGAUACUAUCUGUCUUGAAUAUCGUGGAGGUAAGCGGAAUAUGUCAUGUAGCGGUGAAAUGCUUAGAUAUGACAUAGAACACCCAUUGCGAAGGCAGCUGACUACACGAUCAUUGACGCUGAGGCACGAAAGCGUGGGGAGCAAACAGG
RNAcentral lists this ribosomal RNA (253 nucleotides) under uncultured bacterium. Its description in RNAcentral is "partial 16S ribosomal RNA". It matches the Rfam family "Bacterial small subunit ribosomal RNA", at positions 524 to 776 of the family's 1533-position model. The record is from RNAcentral.